GACGAACGCUGGCGGCGUGCUUAACACAUGCAAGUCGAACGCUGAAGCUCAGCUUUUGUUGGGUGGAUGAGUGGCGAACGGGUGAGUAACACGUGAGUAACCUGCCUCCUUCUUUGGGAUAACGCCCGGAAACGGGUGCUAAUACUGGAUAUUCACUGGUCUUCGCAUGGGGGUUGGUGGAAAGGGUUUUUCUGGUGGGGGAUGGGCUCGCGGCCUAUCAGCUUGUUGGUGGGGUGAUGGCCUACCAAGGCUUUGACGGGUAGCCGGCCUGAGAGGGUGACCGGUCACAUUGGGACUGAGAUACGGCCCAGACUCGUACGGGAGGCAGCAGUGGGGACAAUUGCACAAUGGGCGCAAGACUGAUGCAGCGACGCCGCGUGAGGGAUGGAGGCCUUCGGGUUGUGAACCUCUUUCGCUCAUGGUGAAGCCGCAACAAUGGUUGUGGUGAGGGUAGUGGGUAAAGAAGCGCCGGCUAACUACGUG
This 483-nucleotide ribosomal RNA is filed under the name uncultured bacterium. RNAcentral describes it as "partial 16S ribosomal RNA". It matches the Rfam family "Bacterial small subunit ribosomal RNA", at positions 28 to 507 of the family's 1533-position model. The record is from RNAcentral.